UACGUAGGGGGCAAGCGUUGUCCGGAUUUACUGGGCGUAAAGCGCGCGUAGGCGGAACGUUAAGUCUGGCCUGAAAGCCCCCGGCUCAACCGGGGAGGGUGGCUGGAAACUGGCGUUCUUGAGGGCGAUAGAGGAGUGUGGAAUUCCUGGUGUAGCGGUGAAAUGCGUAGAUAUCAGGAGGAACACCGGUGGCGAAGGCGGCUACCUGGACAGAAACUGACGCUGAGGCGCGAAGGCGUGGGGAGCAAACAGG
RNAcentral lists this ribosomal RNA (253 nucleotides) under uncultured bacterium. RNAcentral describes it as "partial 16S ribosomal RNA". It matches the Rfam family "Bacterial small subunit ribosomal RNA", at positions 524 to 776 of the family's 1533-position model. The record is from RNAcentral.